This is a long non-coding RNA of Magnolia sinica, 1314 nucleotides long. RefSeq lists it as uncharacterized. The transcript is spliced from 3 exons. Lineage: Eukaryota; Viridiplantae; Streptophyta; Magnoliopsida; Magnoliales; Magnoliaceae. The record is from RefSeq and is a predicted model, not a curated record.
UUCUCUUUCACCCAUGGAGGAUUUGAGGGUUUGUGGAUCUUAGGAAUUCGGUCGUUGUGGUUUUUGGAAAUUGGGGAUUUGGGAAUUUUAGGGAUUUGAGGAUAUUGGGGACUUUCAUAUUGAAGGAAUUUGGAGAAAUUGGGGAUUCGUGAAUAUAAUACCCAAAAAAAUAGACAUUUUGCAUUUUGUGGGGAGUGCCUGGAUAGAUGGCUUCAAGGUUGAUCGUGUGGAUUUUUAUUUUUAUUUUUUUUUGCAUAGGAGGUGAUACAUGAUUGAAACCCUUUUAAAUAGUUCUCAGAUGUGCAAUGCGUUAUGCCGUGGAUGUAAAGGAUUCCCUAUUGAAUGAUAGUAGGGAAGCACAUCAUGUGAUGUGGGUUUUGUUUUUUAUGGAAACAGUGAGAUGCUUUAUGAAGAGGCCAACGUUGAUUGGGUUCUUUAAAUAAAUAAAAAAAAGAUCAAUAAUCCAGACCAUUGAUCAGGUGGCCAUGUUGUUGGUGGACAAAAAUCUCACCAUGUGGGCAAUCAACCUUCAAUCAGUUUUUGGAGAACCAAACAAUGGGCCUUUCUGACUCAUUGGCAAUUCGACUCAUCUAUAUACUAUAUGAUUUGGUAUGUAAACCUUGUAUACUAUCCAAUCAACAUCCUCACCAACUCUGAUUGUCAUCAUUUUAUCUUUUGUACAGGAGCAUCUGUGUAGAGAUAAUUUAUCUUUUAUUUUAUUUUUCCAUGAAGGCUACUCAUGCAUUCCUAUUACUUUAUUUUUUGUUCAUCAACUAUAUUAUUGUUAAGGUAGAAAUGUACGAUCGAAUUCCAGUAGUGCUAUGUUUUGUAAUGAUAUUUUCAUGUUUUACAAUUAGGGAUCCAUGUCAUUUUGCAGGAUUUGGAAUCAUGCAGGGACUUAAUCAUUUUUCUUGGGGUUAAGUACUCUUGAAUCAUUUUCCAAGUGACAAGUGGGGCAGUCUUAAAUUUCCAUGGUCUCAUAGGAGAGGAAAUCAUGCCCUUUUACUCCAACAAUGGGAAAGUCUACUUUCACCAGAUGGAAAGCUUUGAGAUGGACUAAAGUUUUUGUAGAAAGUAUGCAGUCUCAGGUUCUAGAUGAAGCUGAUCGAAUGCUUGACAUGGGAUUCAAGCAAGAAGUUCGCUUCAUAUUGAGCUAGACAUCCUCUAGUAUGUGAUUUGUACAAAAACCAUGAAAGAGUUUUGUUGGUUUUUGUUGUAGAAUGAGAUAUUCAUAGACAUGAAUCCGAAUGAGCAAUGUUGCAAAACAAUCUAUGGGAGGGACACAUUUUCACUAUUUUUUUCUGUUGCAAUGUA